Molecule: ribosomal RNA, 796 nt
Filed under: uncultured marine thaumarchaeote
Lineage: Archaea; Thermoproteati; Nitrososphaerota
Description: bacterial SSU rRNA
Rfam family: Archaeal small subunit ribosomal RNA
Source: RNAcentral
ACGGCUGCUCAGUACCACGUAGUCAACCUAACCUAUGGACGGGAAUAACCUCGGGAAACUGAGAAUAAUGCCCGAUAGAACACUAUACCUGGAAUGGUUUGUGUUCCAAAUGAUUUAUCGCCGUAGGAUGGGACUGCGGCCUAUCAGUUUGUUGGUGAGGUAAUGGCCCACCAAGACUAUUACAGGUACGGGCUCUGAGAGGAGUAGCCCGGAGAUGGGUACUGAGACACGGACCCAGGCCCUAUGGGGCGCAGCAGGCGAGAAAACUUUGCAAUGUGCGAAAGCACGACAAGGUUAAUCCGAGUGGUUUCUGCUAAAGGAACCUUUUGUUAGUCCUAGAAACACUAACGAAUAAGGGGUGGGCAAGUUCUGGUGUCAGCCGCCGCGGUAAAACCAGCACCUCAAGUGGUCAGGAUGAUUAUUGGGCCUAAAGCAUCCGUAGCCGGCUCUGUAAGUUUUCGGUUAAAUCUGUACGCUCAACGUACAGGCUGCCGGGAAUACUGCAGAGCUAGGGAGUGGGAGAGGUAGACGGUACUCGGGAGGAAGUGGUAAAAUGCUUUGAUCUCUCGAUGACCACCCGUGGCGAAGGCGGUCUACCAGAACACGUCCGACGGUGAGGGAUGAAAGCUGGGGGAGCAAACCGGAUUAGAUACCCGGGUAGUCCCAGCUGUAAACUAUGCAAACUCAGUGAUGCAUUGGCUUGUGGCCAAUGCAGUAUUGCAGGGAAGCCGUUAAGUUUGCCGCCUGGGAAGUACGUACGCAAGUAUGAAACUUAAAGGAAUUGGCGGGGGAGCAG